CAGCUGCCUUUGCCCAGAGGGCCCGGCUCCCAGCAGCGGAUGGGACUGCGUCGCUCUGAAGCCGUCGGAGAAGAAAGAAGAGACAGCAGUGGAACUUUGAGCAAGAGCGAAGAAGAGGAGCAGCAGCGUCGAGCUCAAGAGGGGGCACGACAGGGACCCUCUGGGCAAAUGCACCUCCCUGGCCCCCCCCGGGCAGGGAUCCGUAAGAGUCCGGCGGGCACCUUCAGGGUGCCCCGGCUGGCUUUGCGCUGGGCGACCACCCUGUAAGCAGGGCUGGGUCUUUGCUU
Long non-coding RNA from Pipra filicauda (Wire-tailed manakin), 287 nucleotides. RefSeq lists it as uncharacterized. NCBI's taxonomy places the organism in Eukaryota, Metazoa, Chordata, Aves, Passeriformes, Pipridae. The record is from RefSeq and is a predicted model, not a curated record. The transcript is spliced from 2 exons.